UACGUAUGGAGCAAGCGUUAUCCGGAUUUACUGGGUGUAAAGGGAGCGUAGGCGGUAAGGCAAGUCUGGAGUGAAAGGCGGGGGCCCAACCCCCGGACUGCUCUGGAAACUAUGUUACUGGAGUGCAGGAGAGGUAAGCGGAAUUCCUAGUGUAGCGGUGAAAUGCGUAGAUAUUAGGAGGAACACCAGUGGCGAAGGCGGCUUACUGGACUGUAACUGACGUUGAGGCUCGAAAGCGUGGGGAGCAAACAGG
Molecule: ribosomal RNA, 253 nt
Filed under: uncultured Eubacteriales bacterium
Lineage: Bacteria; Bacillati; Bacillota; Clostridia; Eubacteriales
Description: uncultured Clostridiales bacterium partial 16S ribosomal RNA
Rfam family: Bacterial small subunit ribosomal RNA
Source: RNAcentral